This 76-nucleotide transfer RNA is filed under the name Capsulimonadaceae bacterium. RNAcentral describes it as "tRNA-Phe". It matches the Rfam family "tRNA". From Rfam's summary of the family: Transfer RNA (tRNA) molecules are approximately 80 nucleotides in length. Their secondary structure includes four short double-helical elements and three loops (D, anti-codon, and T loops). Further hydrogen bonds mediate the characteristic L-shaped molecular structure. tRNAs have two regions of fundamental functional importance: the anti-codon, which is responsible for specific mRNA codon recognition, and the 3' end, to which the tRNAs corresponding amino acid is attached (by aminoacyl-tRNA synthetases). tRNAs cope with the degeneracy of the genetic code in two manners: having more than one tRNA (with a specific anti-codon) for a particular amino acid; and 'wobble' base-pairing, i.e. permitting non-standard base-pairing at the 3rd anti-codon position. The record is from RNAcentral. Lineage: Bacteria; Bacillati; Armatimonadota; Armatimonadia; Capsulimonadales; Capsulimonadaceae.
GCCGCCUUAGCUCAGUUGGUAGAGCAGCGGACUGAAAAUCCGCGUGUCACUGGUUCGAAUCCGGUAGGCGGCACCA